UACGGAGGGUGCAAACGUUGCUCGGAAUCAUUGGGCGUAAAGCGCGCGUAGGCUGCCGGACAAGUUGGAUGUGAAAGCCCUGGGCUCAACCCGGGAUGUGCAUUCAAAACUGUCUGGCUUGAAUCUCGGAGGGGGUCAGGGAAUUCUCGGUGUAGAGGUGAAAUUCGUAGAUAUCGGGAGGAACACCAGUGGCGAAGGCGCUGACCUGGACGAUGAUUGACGCUGAGGCGCGAAAGCGUGGGGAGCAAAC
This 250-nucleotide ribosomal RNA is filed under the name uncultured bacterium. RNAcentral's name for it is "partial 16S ribosomal RNA". It matches the Rfam family "Bacterial small subunit ribosomal RNA", at positions 524 to 773 of the family's 1533-position model. The record is from RNAcentral.